Molecule: transfer RNA, 69 nt
Filed under: Abditibacteriota bacterium
Lineage: Bacteria; Pseudomonadati; Abditibacteriota
Description: tRNA-Met(cat)
Rfam family: tRNA
About the family: Transfer RNA (tRNA) molecules are approximately 80 nucleotides in length.
Source: RNAcentral
CGCGGUGUGUUUUGGCAAACACACUAGUUUCAUAAGCCAGUCAAAGGGGUUCGAUUCCCCUCGCCGCGA